AAAAUUUGUACUGAAUCCUUAGA
RNAcentral lists this microRNA (23 nucleotides) under Drosophila virilis. Its description in RNAcentral is "dvi-miR-9546-3p". The record is from miRBase by way of RNAcentral. Lineage: Eukaryota; Metazoa; Arthropoda; Insecta; Diptera; Drosophilidae.